This 348-nucleotide unclassified non-coding RNA is filed under the name soil metagenome. Its description in RNAcentral is "partial contains 5.8S ribosomal RNA, internal transcribed spacer 2, and large subunit ribosomal RNA". The stretch from base 1 to 120 matches the Rfam family "5.8S ribosomal RNA", at positions 35 to 154 of the family's 154-position model. The record is from RNAcentral.
GAUGAAGAACGUAGCGAAAUGCGAUAAGUAAUGUGAAUUGCAGAAUUCCGUGAAUCAUCGAAUCUUUGAACGCACAUUGCGCCCGCCAGUAUUCUGGCGGGCAUGCCUGUCUGAGCGUCAUUUCAACCCUCAUGCCCCUAGGGCGUGGUGUUGGGGAUCGGCCAAAGCCCGCGAGGGACGGCCGGCCCCUAAAUCUAGUGGCGGACCCGUCGUGGCCUCCUCUGCGAAGUAGUGAUAUUCCGCAUCGGAGAGCGAUGAGCCCCUGCCGUUAAACCCCCAACUUUCCAAGGUUGACCUCAGAUCAGGUAGGAAUACCCGCUGAACUUAAGCAUAUGAAUAAGCGGAGGA